AUGGGGUCCUAUGGGGCUCUAUGGGGUCUUAUGGGGUCCUUAUGGGGUCCUAUGGGGGCUUAAAGGGGUUCUAUGGGGUCCUACGGGGUCCUUAUGGGGUCCUAUGGGGUUCUAUGGGGUCCUUAUGGGGUCUGAGUGGGUUUAUGGGGUCCUAUGGGGUCCCUAUGGGGUUCUAUGGGGGCUUAAAGGAGUCUUAUGGGGUUCUAUGGGGUCCCUAUGGGGUCCUUGAAGGUUUAUAGGGUCCUUAUGGGGACUUUAUGGGGUUAAUUGGGGUUUAUGGAGUCCUUAUGGGGUCCUUAUGGGGUCAGUUGGGGUUUAUGGAGUCCUUAUGGGGUCAUUAUGGGGUUAAAUGGGGUUUAUGGGGUCCCUAUGGGGUCCUUAUGGGGUUAAUUGGGGUUUAUGGUGUCUCUAUGGGGUCCUUAUGGGGUCCUUAUGGGAUCUGGGGGCAUUUAUAGGGUCUCUAUGGGGUCUUUAUGGGGUCCUUCUGGGGUUAAUUAGGGUUUAUAGGGUCCUUAUGGGGACUUUAUGGGGUUAAUUGGGGUCCUUAUGGGGUCCUUAUGGGGUCCUUAUGGGGUCAAUUGGGGUUUAUAGGGCCCUUAUGGGGUCCUUAUGGUGUCUUUACGGGGUUAAAGGGGGUUUAUAGGGUCUCUAUGGGGUCCUUAUGGGGUCAAUUGGGGUUUAUGGAGUCCUUAUGGGGUCUUUAUGGGGUUAAAUGGGGUUUAUGGGGUCCUUAUGGGGUCAUUAUGGGGUCCUUAUGGGGUCAAUUGGGGUUUAUGGGGCCCUUAUGGGGUCAUUAUGGGACCCUUAUGGGGUUAAAGGGGGUUUAUAGGGUCUCUAUGGGGUCCCUUUGGAAUCCUUAUGGGGUUAAAGGGGGUUUAUAGGGUUUCUAUGGGGUCCUUUUGGGGUCCUUAUGGGGUUAAUCGGGGUUUAUGGGGUCCCUAUGGGGUCCUUAUGGGGUCUUUAUGGGGUUAAUUGGGGUCCUUAUGGGGUCCUUAUGGGGUCCUUAUGGGGCUAAUUGGGGUUUAUGGGGUCCUUAUGGGGUCUUUAUGGGGUUAAUUGGGGUUUAUGGGGUCCUUAUGGGGUCAUUAUGGGGUCCUUAUGGGGUUAAAGGGGGUUUAUAGGGUUUCUAUGGGGUCCUUAUGGGGUUAAUUGGGGUUUAUGGGGUCCUUAUAGGAUCCUUAUGGGGUUAAAGGGGGUUUAUGGGGUCCCUAUGGGGUCCUUAUGGGGUCUUUAUGGGGUCAAUUGGUGUUUAUGGGGUCCUUAUGGGGUCCUUAUGGGGCUAAUUGGGGUUUACGGGGACUUUAUGGGGUCCUUAUGGGGUCAAUUGGCUUUUAUAGGGUCCCUAUGGGGUCCUUAUGGCUGCAAUACCCCUCCCGUCCACAAGGCGGCGCUACUGAGCGCAGACUCACCUUUGCGCAUGCGCAUCAGCCACCAUCCGGGUCCUUUCCUCUGCGUGCUGCGCAUGCGCGUCUGCUGUAGAGAGCGCAUGCGCUGUAGCUGCCAUUUGCAGCGCAUGCGCAGUACGC
Molecule: long non-coding RNA, 1526 nt
Organism: Gallus gallus (chicken)
Lineage: Eukaryota; Metazoa; Chordata; Aves; Galliformes; Phasianidae
Source: Ensembl